RNAcentral lists this transfer RNA (73 nucleotides) under Thermocoleostomius sinensis A174. It matches the Rfam family "tRNA". From Rfam's summary of the family: Transfer RNA (tRNA) molecules are approximately 80 nucleotides in length. Lineage: Bacteria; Bacillati; Cyanobacteriota; Cyanophyceae; Oculatellales; Oculatellaceae. RNAcentral also lists the same sequence under 2 other names. The record is from Rfam by way of RNAcentral.
GCUCCAGUAGCUCAGUGGAUAGAGCAACCGCCUUCUAAGCGGUCGGUCGCAGGUUCGAUCCCUGCCUGGAGCG